CUCUAGUGGUUUUUAUUUUGGUGGGGGAUGGGGGAGGGGGGAGAGAUGAGCUGCUUUUUUGUGCAUAGUGAAAAAUGGCAGAAAUUGCUUGGAGUGGGUUGGGAUAAGAGGCCUCAAGAUGGGAUAGCAUGAGGAUAAAACAUUUAGGUGGAGGUAUGCACUGCUUGGGAAAACGAGGUGUGGCAAGAUCAAAGGAAGGGAGAGGAAGAAAUAAACGUGUUAUUUUAAAAUUGAAACGUAUGCCGUAUAGAUUCCAUGCAUACUCUCUUGCAGUUU
Pelobates cultripes (western spadefoot toad) is the source of this 276-nucleotide non-coding RNA. The record is from the annotation of a GenBank genome assembly. NCBI's taxonomy places the organism in Eukaryota, Metazoa, Chordata, Amphibia, Anura, Pelobatidae.